This 58-nucleotide transfer RNA is filed under the name Salmo salar (Atlantic salmon). It matches the Rfam family "tRNA", at positions 8 to 63 of the family's 71-position model. Rfam says of the family: Transfer RNA (tRNA) molecules are approximately 80 nucleotides in length. Lineage: Eukaryota; Metazoa; Chordata; Actinopteri; Salmoniformes; Salmonidae. The record is from Rfam by way of RNAcentral.
UGGCUCAGUUGGUAGAGCAUGGUGUGUGCAACGCCAGGGUUGUGGGUUCAAUCCCCAC